AUAAAUUCAUUCUUUUACUAAAAUUUGUAAGAAUUCACCUUUGGACCUUUUUUGGGAUGUUCAUAUUAGACAAACUCAAUCUUUUAUUCUUAUUUGGGUAUACCGUACCAUGAAAUUUAGAUUAGGAGAGACAUGCUAAGAAGAACCACAAACCUCUACAAAAAUUUGCAAUAGAAUUGUAUGACCUGCCAAUGCAGAAACUGUGACUUGUAUCCAAGUGUGAGCAAGAGGUCCAAUCAUGUAUGUCAACUCUGUUGAUAUCACAAUGAUAUUAAAUUGAUAUAAGAAUGAGAUCUUAGAACAUAAUUUAGUGUCAUAAAUAUAAAUCAGGUAUGAAAACAAAAUGAUUAGAAAAAUAAAUAUAUGAAUAAAUCAUUGAGAUUUGUUAUAAAAAUAUCAUUUUAACAAUACAAUGUUAGAAACUUAAAAUCAAUAGAUACAUUUCCUUACAGAUCAAAAAUAAUUAAGCUAUAUUCUUGUCUUUUCAUUUUUGGCAAACUAAAACUAAAAUCAGGGUGGCAUAAACGUUCAUGUGUGUUUGGAAUCAUGCACAAAUCAUGGUGACACAGUAAUCUAUUAAAACUCUAAACUGUAGUUUUUAUCAAAAUUACAGUAUCUAAUUUCAAACAUGCACUCUAUAGUCCUAGCUUUUGGAUUCCCUUUUCAACUUGCCUGUUUCUACCAAAACCAUUCCAAAAUAAUUAGGGUCACAUUGCUCUAAAAGUCAAUAAGAAUUGGUAGUAAUUCAAAUACAGCCAGCCAGCCUUAUAGUAUAAUUUAAUAUGGAUGUAUGCAUAUUUCCUAGAAGGUGAGUCUCAAGGGACAAGUUAACUAAUCAAGAUGCUUUAAAAAUUUAACUAUAAAAUGGGGUUGCACCACCAGCAUUCUUCCACACUCCACAGAAACAAAACAAACUUGUAAGAAAAAAUGAGGUCCCAAAUGGCCUCUACUCUCACUCUUGCAUUAGCAAUCCUCUUCAUCAGUUUUGCAGCUGAAACUUCCGCAAACCAGUACUCUUAUUCCUCUCCACCACCACCAGUGCACACUUACCCCCAUCCAACCCCAUCACCAGUCUACCAUUCUCCACCACCACCAGUGCACACCUAUCCUCAUCCAACUCCAUCCCCAGUCUACCACUCUCCACCACCACCGGUUCACACCUAUCCUCACCCACACCCAGUCUACCACUCCCCACCACCACCACCACNNNNNNNNNNNNNNNNNNNNNNNNNNNNNNNNNNNNNNNNNNNNNNNNNNNNNNNNNNNNNNNNNNNNNNNNNNNNNNNNNNNNNNNNNNNNNNNNNNNNNNNNNNNNNNNNNNNNNNNNNNNNNNNNNNNNNNNNNNNNNNNNNNNNNNNNNNNNNNNNNNNNNNNNNNNNNNNNNNNNNNNNNNNNNNAAACCCUACACCCCACACCCUUACCCUCACCCUCACCCAGUCUACCACUCUCCACCACCACCAGUUCACACCUACCCCCCUCACGUUCCCACCCCUUACCCUCACCCUCACCCAGUCUACCAUUCUCCUCCUCCUCCAGUCUCUUCCCCACCUCCACCACACUAUUACUACAAAUCCCCUCCUCCACCUUACCACCACUAGAUAGCCUAUACUUGGCAUCACACCACAUGGUAAAUUUUCAUGCAAAAUAUAUUAUAAUAUUAACAAUUACAAUAUUUCCUUUCACAAAUCAAAACAUAUUCUCUCAUUAUUAACUAAGUAACAGUAUAAUUGUCCAGUAUAAAUGCAAUCCUAAUUUAAAAUGAAACUUCAUGUGCAAUGAAACAUUCUUUUACUGUUUAAUGAUUUAGUAUCCAUUUCUUUUAAAUCAAUCUUGGUCUUAUAGUUUUUGGUUAUUAAGGGAUUAGAGUAUCAAACAUAAACUGACAGAUCAAUAUAUAUUUGGAUUUUUGUAGGAUCUAAACAGAAAGUGUGAAAGCAAAGAAAGUCAUGCACAAAGAAGAUCAAGGGGGAUUCUUCACGUAUAUUUCGUCAAAUGUUUGAAUAUUAUUGUUUAGCGGGCUGCUUUUAUUUAUUUAAUUUGUGUAUUUUGUUGUAUUAGCCACAGCUGUAAGGCACUGCCCCACCAUGCAUGUGUCUGCAGUUGUUUGCAUGAAUUGUGUAUUUUUCAAAGUUCGGUUUUGCAUCAAGCUGACUGACAAGCCAAAUAAAUAUAUAUAUAUCCCCUAUUAUAGAAAUAUUUCCCUUGCAUCUAUAGCUCUUUUCUAUUAUUCUUGUGAUAAUAAUAAUAAUCUAUGUUUAUUUGUUUGUACUAUUAUUUUUGGUUUACCUUUCUCGGUACAAAUCAGUUUUAGUUUAAAAGUGAAUCUAGCCAUUUUAAAAGAAUAUUGCUUCUCAAAAGAAGGAAGAAAAAGAAACCAUUUUAUAAGUGAACUAAGACUCGUGUCUCAAUGUGUGUUUUUUCUUUUAACGACAAAGAUUUAUAAUAAUAUAAACAAGAGUACUCCAACUCACUACAAAAAGAGGUGCAACACUUCAAACGAAAAAAUAGCACACACCAUGAGCACUACUACAGAGUCACUAGAGAGGAACUACAUCAUAAGUCAUAACCCCUCAAUAAGGACAAUGUGUGUAGUUUGUACUUGUGCCUAUGGAAGUGUUUCUCCAAGUCUCAAUGUGUAUAGUUUAACCCCAUCAAAAAAGAAAACAAAUACUCCCUUAUCCACUAACACUAAGUAUCCAAACAGACAUCCCUCGUUCCAACCAUCUAUGUAUUGAAAUUCGAUACAAAUAGCAGCAAAACAUCCAAGUACAAAAAUCAAAUUGUUUUAGUUUUAUCACAGAAUCAAACCAAAAUGUGGGAAGUUGUCAAAAUAUUAUAUUUCCUCCAAUAAGUGCAUUUUAUCCUUCACCAUCAACUAGAUUGAUUACUUCAAUUGACAACUAUUAAUUUUUUAUAUUUGAUCUAACUCAUCCUUACAAACUGGUGUUUCUCUUUUUAGACUCGUUUCCGACCUUAUUACUUUUCCAUUAGGGACUUAGGUUUUUUCUAAUAAAAACAUUUGGGACAUUUUUCACAGCAGUCAUUUUACAGUCAGACAAAUUCUUAUUCUGCAUUCACCCAAUAACCCAUAACAGUAACCCAUAAUAGCAUGUGCCUUUCACAGUCAGACAAACAAUAAAAUAUUAACAGCUUAAACUUUUUGAGAAUCUGAGCAUAUUUUAAAGAAGAUCAUAUGGAUACAUAUUCACUCAUGAAUAUUCUAUAUGAUUAAUCAAUUGAAAGAAAAAAAAUGUUGCAAUGUGUGGCCAUAUCCACAGUAAUAAUCAAACCAAAUUUUACUUGGCAUGAAAAAAAUUAUUAAAACUGCUGAAAACAGAUAACUGUGCCUAUUUCUUCUACAUAUACCAAGUUAAAUGUAAGGAGUUUCAACAGAGCUCGUGAAAGGAAAUGUAGGAGAAUACCUUUAGAUUUCGCUUCACCAAAACUCUUCUGUAACUCUGCUCGUGCAAACAAACGAGUGUUGUUCCAAGGGCUAAAAAUGAAUAUAAAUAAAAAUAAGUGUAGUAAGCAAAGGUUUACAGAUUUACAAUUACAAAGAAUAAAUUGUGAUGAUUCCUAAAAUCGAAAAAGGGAAAGGACGAACUAACAUUAUGAGUAUUCGAAGAAUUGCUGCUCUGUCAAGUUUCUCCAGUUCAGCUUGACUCGAUAAAAUUAGUUCAUCUUGAAAUUCGAAUUGAGUUUGAUAUAAACCUUCUUUUUAGCUCAAGCUCGGCUCUUCCAAGUCCGCGAACAACACAGUUCAUCUUGUGAGCUCAAAUCACACAAUUCAAUAGUAAAGUUUCACCUUUUAAAUUGAUAAUUUAAUAGUAAUUACCAAACAAAAGUACAGUAAUUUUCUAGAUAUAUUUUUGUUAACGAAAAAUUGGAAGUGCAAAGCCAUCAUUAUGCCUUCACUGACAUCCUAACUAUAUUGGUAUAAAUUGUCUAAUUGAAAGAAAAAAUAUAUAUAAAGGAGGCCUUUGAAAAAUUCCUAUUCCUUUAGAUAAACCUCGCUAUUGUGCUUUAAAUAAUUAUGAAUUAUAUGUCCACUAUACAUAAUCCUCAGCAAAAUAGAAUCGAUAAACAAAAUUUUAACCUUAAAAUCUACCUAUCAUCCUAUCAUAAACAUAUUCAUCCGGCAAUUAAAAUAGAUAGAACCGUUGAACAACAAACCAUUGUAUUAUUAACCAACAAUAAUGUUUCGGACUAGGUCAAGGUCCAAUCCGAAAAGGGUCCAUGGUCUAGCUAUCAUAACAUACCGUGUCCCAGAGACGCACCGGACAAAUUGUUGCCAUAAAUGUACAGUUGAGUAUAGUAGACUUCAAAGUGAGGGAUAUAUUUGAAUGUAGAAUUGAAAUAAAAUAAGGGUCGUGUAAACUAGUAUCAUGGGCACUAGUUAAGGAACUAAAAUAAGUAAGUUUUAUAUUAAAAACAACACAUUUUAUAUUUCAAGAAUUUGACGACACAAUUUCCAAAGUAUUUUUACUAUCUUUACUUCUUUAACUAGUGCCUAGGGUAUAUUUCUCUUUUACAAAUGUGAAACUUAAUAUUUGAUGGAGAGAGUAAAUAAUUUUGAGGAUGAAUAAGCCCUCUUUCCAGUUUAGUCACCAAACAAUAUACAAAUACAUAAUAAAUAGUUUUGGAAGUAUAUGAAAAAACGUCAUUUUAGUUUCUAAAGCACAUGAAUUUUUGUUCCGUAGUCCCUAGCAUCAUUAAAAUAGGCACUACAAUAUUUCAUAUAUUUUAGAAUGGGUAGUCAGAAUAAUUUCAGUGUUAAAUUGAAGAUGUACUCUUUUCAGAAUAAUUUCAGUGUUAGAAACUUAGAAUCAAAAGAUAUGUUCGUUAACAGAUCCAAAAUAGUAAUAACUAAGUGACAGUCUUGUCUUUUCUUUGGGAUAAUAAAAAAUAAAGGUGAUGCCAAAAUUUCAACAGUUCUACCUAUUUUAAUUAUUCUGGUCUCAGCCUGCACCUUGGAUCAAAUACAAAUUCAAGCUCCAAAACGCUUUGGGUCACAACCGUUCCAAAGUGCUUAGGGACGCUGCUCCAAAUGUCAAUAUGAAUGAGUAAUUCAUAUAGUUAAUAUAGCCAGCCAGCCUUAUAUAAUAUCAAUAUAUGUCAUGUUUCCUAGAAGAUGAGUUUCAAGUGAAAUAAACUUAUCAAUAUGCUAAAUUGGAGUUACAUUGAUAUAUUAGUUUUCUUAAUAAUGUGCUAUCUAUUAGUGUUUUCUUAAUAAUGUACGUCUAUCUAAUAUGUACUCUAUUUCAAAUAUAAUGUGUUCAGUUAGACAGUGCAUGGUCAGGAAAGUGUAGUAUGAAUUUAAGGUAUAACAUGCGAUCUUAGUACCAUGCAAUUAAGAUUAUGAGAGACAGGUCAGGAAAAACCACCAACCCCAGUAAAGAUUUACUCGUGGGAAUUCUGACUUGAACCAAGUAAGUGCGGCAAAAUAUCCAACCAUCUAUGUCAACUCCCCAACCAUCUAUGUCAACU
Molecule: long non-coding RNA, 5487 nt
Filed under: Trifolium pratense (red clover)
Lineage: Eukaryota; Viridiplantae; Streptophyta; Magnoliopsida; Fabales; Fabaceae
Description: long non-coding RNA (TPRA_LNC012363)
Source: RNAcentral